GGAAUUUUGGACAAUGGGCGAAAGCCUGACGCAGCCAUGCCGCGUGAAUGAUGAAGGCCUUAGGAUUGUAAAAUUCUUUCACCGGGGACGAUAAUGACGGUACCCGGAGAAGAAGCCCCGGCUAACUUCGUGCCAGCAGCCGCGGUAAUACGAAGGGGGCUAGCGUUGCCCGGAAUUACUGGGCGUAAAGGGAGCGUAGGCGGACAGUUAAGUCAGAGGUGAAAGCCCAGGGCUCAACCUUGGAAUUGCCUUUGAUACUGGCUGUCUUGAGUAUGGGAGAGGUGUGUGGAACUCCGAGUGUAGAGGUGAAAUUCGUAGAUAUUCGGAAGAACACCAGUGGCGAAGGCGACACACUGGCCCAUUACUGACGCUGAGGCUCGAAAGCGUGGGGAGCAA
Molecule: ribosomal RNA, 396 nt
Filed under: uncultured bacterium
Lineage: Bacteria
Description: bacterial SSU rRNA
Rfam family: Bacterial small subunit ribosomal RNA
Source: RNAcentral